This 398-nucleotide ribosomal RNA is filed under the name uncultured bacterium. RNAcentral's name for it is "bacterial SSU rRNA". It matches the Rfam family "Bacterial small subunit ribosomal RNA", at positions 29 to 416 of the family's 1533-position model. The record is from RNAcentral.
AAUGAACGCUGGCGGCGCGCCUAAUACAUGCAAGUCGAGCGAGAAGACGUAGCAAUACGUUUGUAAAGCGGCGAACGGGUGAGGAAUACAUGGGUAACCUACCCUCGAGUGGGGAAUAACUAGCCGAAAGGUUAGCUAAUACCGCGUACGCUUCUUGGACUUCGGUUCAGGGAGGAAAGCGAUACCGUGGGUAUCGCGCUCUUGGAUGGGCUCAUGUCCUAUCAGCUUGUUGGUGAGGUAACGGCUCACCAAGGCUUCGACGGGUAGCUGGUCUGAGAGGACGAUCAGCCACACUGGCACUGCGACACGGGCCAGACUCCUACGGGAGGCAGCAGUAAGGAAUAUUGCGCAAUGGGCGAAAGCCUGACGCAGCGACGCCGCGUGGGGGAGUGAAGGCC